Molecule: ribosomal RNA, 441 nt
Filed under: uncultured bacterium
Lineage: Bacteria
Description: bacterial SSU rRNA
Rfam family: Bacterial small subunit ribosomal RNA
Source: RNAcentral
CCUAUGGGAGGCAGCAGUAGGGAAUCUUGCGCAAUGGGCGAAAGCCUGACGCAGCCAUGCCGCGUGGAUGAUGAAGGUCUUAGGAUUGUAAAAUCCUUUCAGCGGGGACGAUAAUGACGGUACCCGCAGAAGAAGCCCCGGCUAACUUCGUGCCAGCAGCCGCGGUAAUACGAAGGGGGCUAGCGUUGCUCGGAAUUACUGGGCGUAAAGGGCGCGUAGGCGGAUAUUUAAGUUGGGGGUGAAAGCCCGGGGCUCAACCUCGGAAUUGCCUUCAAUACUGGAUAUCUUGAGUACGGGAGAGGUGAGUGGAACUCCGAGUGUAGAGGUGAAAUUCGUAGAUAUUCGGAAGAACACCAGAGGCGAAGGCGGCGCACUGGACAGCAACUGACACUCAACUGCGAAAGCGUGGGGAGCAAACAGGAUUAGAUACCCAUGUAGUCC